GACGAACGCUGGCGGCAUGCCUAAUACAUGCAAGUCGAGCGAACAGAUGAAGUGCUUGCACUUCUGACGUUAGCGGCGAACGGGUGAGUAACACGUAAGGAAUCUACCUAUAAGCGGGGGAUAACAUUCGGAAACGGGUGCUAAUACCGCAUAAUAUCUUCUUCCGCAUGGAAGGAGAUUGAAAGACGGCUCUGCUGUCACUUAUAGAUGACCUUGCGGUGCAUUAGUUAGUUGGUGGGGUAAUGGCCUACCAAGACGAUGAUGCAUAGCCGACCUGGGAGGGUGAUCGGCCACAUUGGGACUGAGACACGGCCCAAACUCCUACGGGAGGCAGCAGUAGGGAGUCUUCCGCAAUGGGCGAAAGCCUGACGGAGCAAUGCCGCGUGAGUGAAGAAGGCCUUCGGGUCGUAAAACUCUGUUAUAAGAGAAGAACAAAUUGUAGAGUAACUGCUACAGUCUUGACGGUAUCUUAUCAGAAAGCCACGGCUAACUACGUGCCAGCCGCCGCAGUAA
RNAcentral lists this ribosomal RNA (513 nucleotides) under uncultured bacterium. RNAcentral's name for it is "partial 16S ribosomal RNA". It matches the Rfam family "Bacterial small subunit ribosomal RNA", at positions 28 to 523 of the family's 1533-position model. The record is from RNAcentral.